Molecule: small nucleolar RNA, 65 nt
Filed under: Castor canadensis (American beaver)
Lineage: Eukaryota; Metazoa; Chordata; Mammalia; Rodentia; Castoridae
Description: Small nucleolar RNA SNORD37 (ENSCCNG00000022067.1)
Rfam family: Small nucleolar RNA SNORD37
About the family: U37 is a member of the C/D class of snoRNA which contain the C (UGAUGA) and D (CUGA) box motifs. Most of the members of the box C/D family function in directing site-specific 2'-O-methylation of substrate RNAs.
Source: Rfam by way of RNAcentral
GCACAUGAUGAAUGAAAUUUCUUCACUUUGACCUGAUGUCUGUUGAAGAGACAUAAUGUCUGAGG